UUAAAAAUAGUGUAUUUGCAUACUAAAUUUUGGAUUUAGUGGAAGGAACUAGCCUUUUUUAAA
This 63-nucleotide transfer RNA is filed under the name Stenostomum sthenum. RNAcentral describes it as "tRNA-Gln". The record is from RNAcentral. Lineage: Eukaryota; Metazoa; Platyhelminthes; Stenostomidae.